AGCAGCCGCGGUAAUUCCAGCUCCAAUAGCGUAUAUUAAAGUUGUUGCAGUUAAAAAGCUCGUAGUUGAAUUUCGGGAUCAAUGCGUCGGUCGUGCCUUCGGUACGUACUAGCGUCAUUGAUUCCUCCCUUCUGAAGAUCCGUGAUGUCAUUAAUUUGGUGUUACGGGGAAUCAGGACUGUUACCUUGAAAAAUUAGAGUGUUUAAAGCAGGCUAACGCUUGAAUACAUUAGCAUGGAAUAAUGAAAUAGGACGUUCGAACCUAUUUUGUUGGUUUCUAGGAUCGGCGUAAUGAUUAAUAGGGAUAGUUGGGGGCAUUAGUAUUCAAUUGUCAGAGGUGAAAUUCUUGGAUUUUAUUGAAGACUAACUACUGUGAAAGCAUUUGCCAAGGAUGUUUUCAUUAAUCAAGAACGAAAGUUAGGGGAUCGAAGACGAUCAGAUACCGUCGUAGUCUUAACCAUAAACUAUGCCGACUAGGGAUCGGAUGAUGUUAAAUUUUAUAAUGACUCA
RNAcentral lists this ribosomal RNA (509 nucleotides) under uncultured Glomeraceae. Its description in RNAcentral is "SSU rRNA". It matches the Rfam family "Eukaryotic small subunit ribosomal RNA", at positions 569 to 1078 of the family's 1831-position model. Lineage: Eukaryota; Fungi; Glomeromycota; Glomeromycetes; Glomerales; Glomeraceae. The record is from RNAcentral.